CUCUCCGCGCCUUCGCCCCGCGCGCCCAGCUCACUCGCUCCCGCGGCGCCUGCUGCGGCCUCUCCUCCUCCUCCUUCGCCUCCUCCUCUUCCUCCGAUUUCCUCUCCUCCUCUUCCUCCUUCUCCUCUUUCCCCACCUCCUCCCCUUCAGCCUCCUCCUCCUCCUCCUCCUCCUCCUCCUCCUCCUCCUCCUCCUCCUCCUCCACCACCACCACCACCACCAGCACCACCACCUCCACCUCCACCUCCACCUCCUCCGCUCCCUCCGGGGCGCCCCGGUGCCUGCCGAGUCCCGGGCGGGCGCCGCCGCAGCUACAGCCCCCUGGAUCCCGAGCCUGCUGCGCCCGCGCUGGGAGGACAGACGGACAGACCGAUACGCAGACUCCUGGCGCCCUACGGCCCUCGGCGGCCCUGUGUCGGGGGGAUCUAGGAUCGCCCGGGAGCACCGCGAGGAGCAGGUACGAGACGGGGCGAAGGAAGGCAGGCCACGCCCACAUGCCGGGUCUGCCCAGCCGCACGGAUGAGGCAAGGGGCAACACACGAGGUCUUCAACCAGUUCGUGGAGAGCGUUGUGAAUAAACUAUGUAUGGGUUUCAAUAAUUUCUGCAUCAAAAUAAAUUUGUUCUAACAGGUCUGACCAGGAGGUAGGUGGAGGCACCAAGAAAGGGAAGGCACCCGUUUGCAAUGAGCCCUUACUACGGUAUCAUGAAUUCGGCUAAAAUCGAAGCAAGAACCAACAUCAAAUUUAUGGUAAAGCUUGGGUGGAAGAAUGGCAAAAUCAUCGAAGCUUUGCAAGUAGUCUAUGGGGACAGCGCCCCGAAGAAGUCAGCAGUGUACAAGUGGGUAACGCGCUUUAAGAAGGGGAGAGACGACGUGGAAGACGAAGCCCGCAGCGGCAGACCAUCCACGUCAAUUUGCGAGGAGAAAAUCCGUCUCGUCCGGGCCCUCAUCGAAGAGGACCGCCGGCUGACCGCAGAAGCCAUAGCCAACACCAUCGACAUCUCCAUCGGCUCGGCCUACACGAUCCUCACGGAAAAGCUCAAGCUGAGCAAACUGUCUGCGCAGUGGGUGCCCAGGCUGCUGCACCCGGACCAGCUGAAGGCAAAGGCAGAGCUUCCCGUGGGAAUCCUAAACAAGUGGGACCAAGACCCUGGGCUGUAACAGGAGCUGAGACGCGGCCUUCCCAGGACGAUCCUGUACACGGAGCAUCAUCAAAACAAUGGCUACCCGGAGGCGGAAGUGGCCCAGCCAAAGCCAGAGCAGACUGGUCAAGGAGAGACGUUACGGCGGCAGACCCCGGGGAUGCUGGAGGCCUUUUGCUCGUGGACAUCUGCUUCUUAAGAGAGUGUGUGGGGAGAGCCACGCUGCAGCAGGAACACACCCAGGAAGUGCAGCGGGGCGUCCUUCCCCUCGUGACAAUGCUCCUGCUCUCUCCUCUCUCAAACAAGGGCAAACAGAGCGGGGGUGGGGGGAGGGGUUCAAAGAGAAAUCACUGGGCAUCCACCCGACAGCCCCGAUGCGGCUCCUUUGGGUUCUUUCUGUUUCCUGACCUUAACAACUCUUUAAAGGGCACUGUGUUUCUUCUGCCAAUGAUGCCAAAAGGACUUAUCGACCUCAGGUCCUUGGGGAUGGACUCAAUGGCUGCUUACCAGUGUGUCUUGAACUUAAGGGGCCUAUGUAGGGAAAUUUGAAUCUUUUAGUUUUGUCUUUCAAUUCCAUUUUCCCACAGCCUUUUUGAAGUCCCCUCCUAUUUCUGACACCUUAGCUUUGCCUUUCGAAGACCUGCUGUGUAGCAGCCAUUGUGUUAAACAUGACAUUAGGACCAUCUUUCUCAGCCUCAUAACAGCCUACAUAGCAGGUACUCUGGUUUUCUCUGUUUUUGAAGAUUUAUUUAUUGAAAGGCAGAGUUACAGAGACAAAAGAAGAGAGAGAGAGAAGGAGAGAGAGAGAAGAAGAGAGAGAGAGAGAGAAAAGAGAGAGAGACAAUGAAGCUUCCACCCACUGGUUCACUGCCCAAAUGUCUGCAACGGCCAGGGCUGGGUCAGAUUGAAGCUAGGAGCCUGGAACUCCAUCCAGGUCUCCCACAUGAAUGGCAGGAGCCCAAGGACUUGGGCCAUCUUCCGCUACUUUCCCAGGUGCAUUAGCAGGGAGCUGGAUUGGAAGUGGAGGGGCCAGGACUUGAACCAGUGCUCAUGUGGGAUGCUGGCACCACAGGUGGCUGCUUAACCUGCUGUGCCACUCCGCCAGCCUCUGGCAGGUAAUGUUCUUAAAACCACUUCAAAGAUGAGGGCACCGAGGCUUAGAGAGGGUAAGGACCCUUGCCAAGGACACCAGCCAUGCAGAAGAAGAACUGGGGUGAAGACCCCGGCGGGCUGCUUCCAGUGCAGGCCUAGUGCCUACUCCUGGGCACCUCCCUUCCCUGGGCGGGGGAGCUCCUGGGAAGCCAGGGACACUGGUGCUGAGUGAGUUAGAAACAUGGCAGGCCAUUGGAUGAUAUGGGUGACAUGAACCACAGAACCACUGGGGUUCAAUGACUUGAUACACACAUGCCUGUCUCCCCUGGAUGGACAGACCUUCUUCAUGGUCCAAGGGCUUGAAUUCUUGCCCAGCAUCCCUCUCCUUCCCUUGGGGACAGCCAAGGACACACUGCUUGCUUGGCUUUGCUAUGUCUUGCUAAGAAAAAGCAGCAUCUUGUCUGUUUCCUAGGCCUUCUGGGAUGUCCACACACACACACAUAUGUGAUCAUGUAUGAUUACACAGCCUCACACCCCACAACAUGCUCACCCUCGAACAAAGGCACACCACCAUGCACAGCGUGCACACAUACACACACUCACACACACACCACACACACACACACCUGCCCGCAUUCCUGUGGGCGUCUGCUAAGACUGUGAUCAGGCGAGACAAAGUCUCUGCCACUCUCCGCUUUGCACCUGUGGUAUUUGCUUCUGUGUUUACCUCUCGCAAGACGAGUUUGUUUCGCUAAAGUCACUGUGGCCCAGAAAUUCUUUCUACUUUUAAAGCCCAACACGCAGCACUGCCUGACCCCUUCCCUUGACACCCGAAACAGACAGGAAGAGGCCUCAAAAGUCCAGAGGAUCGAUGGUCUCUAUUUUCAAAAUGCUCCCUCCGUGGUUGGAUACUUCUGCACCCAGUUUUCAUUCAUCUCAGGGGUUGGGGCCUGCCGUCUGCUUUUGUGUGGGAAAAACCUCUCCUAACCAGUCACUGUUUACCUGGUUCGGGGCCUAGCCUUUGCUGUCUGCUCCUGCAUGAAUCUGAUGCCCACCACAUGCUGGUCCCGUGCCACUGGCUGGCGUCCCCUCGGACAACGUCCACUAAGAGGGCUUCUGCUGUCCUGGUCUUCAAAAACUGCAAGUGCUGUUGACCCAGGGUCAAGUGCAGUCUUGGGGACACCGACUAUCAACACCCAAGUAAGCCAAGGAGACCUAGAGGCCCAGGUACUGUGUACUGGAGGAGUCCAAGAGAGGGCAGAGUGCGGGAGCUGGAGUGGGUGUGGAAGGCUUCCUGGAGGAGGUGAGGUUCCUCAUGGGCUUUUGUUGUGGGUGGAAUUAUAUCCUCCUCCAAGUUCAGAUAUUCAAGUCCUAACGUCCAGUACCUAAGAAAGCAACCUUAUUUGGAAAUAGGGUCACAGCUGGUAUAACUAGCUAAGUGGAGGUAGGUUGGAAUAGGGUAGGCUCCUGGUCCAAGAUGACUGACAUCUCUAUAAACAGGGGAAAUUCUAAGACAGACGUGUGCACAGGGAGAGCGCCACGUGGAGACGGAGGCAGAGAUGCGGUGCUGCUUCUGCAAGCCCAUGCCGGAGAAGGCCAGCACCACCGGGAGCCGGGAGAGGCCUGGGGCCGAGUCCCCUGCAGGAGGAGUUGGAUGGGACGAAACUUAGAAGGAAGCAACCCCAGACAUUGACCUUUGACCUUCAGCCUCCUGAACGGGAGACGAUUACCAUCUGUGGUUUGAGCCCCGGGCCCUGGCCCUUGGUUACAGCAGCCCUAGCGAGCUGCUGGAGGCUGCACGGACAGGAAGCGGUGUGUGCUACACAGAGAAAGCAACGUGGCCACCAGCUGCCCCACCAUAGGCCCUGACAACCCACUCCUGCUCCCACCUCCAUCAUCUCCACGCUGCCGGAGGAGAAAAGGCCUGGGGGCCAGGGUGGAGAGGUGGGGGCCAGGUGGGCCUGGGCUGUCUGGUUGCAGAUGGCCCCCGUGGCCAGGAGCAGCUGAAGAACACUUGGCGGCAUCCCUGCUGCCUCCCCAGCAGGGGGUAGGACUCUGCACCGAUGGGCAGGGCUGCCCUAGCUAGCACACACCUGGCUGGGAGUCGCAGGAAAACAGUGUUUGUGCGGCUCUGCACUGAAGGGCACUGGAUCCACGCAAAGCUCAUCAGUGAGACACAAGGGGCUUGGCUCGAGCCACAGGAUCUGGUGUCUGCUGUGAGUCCUUCCCCCGGGCUCCGGCCUGGGUUGAGACAGGAGAACGGCUGUCCCCUUAACAUCUGUGGAUGUGACCCUUUCAGAAGCAGGGUCUCUGCCGAAGUGACCACCUGGUGACAGCGGCUCAAAUCCACUGACUGCUGUCCUUACGAGACAAGGGGCAUUUGACACAGACACACGAAGAGCAAGCAGGUGGCCGCACAAAGACAGAGGCACCCCCAGGGAGAAGGCAGCAGGAGCGUGGAGGCCAAGAAGGCCCGGGUGCAGUGGCCAGCCCAGAAAGGCCACCCCACCAGAAACAGAGAGGUGAGCAAGGUCCCUGUACAGGCAGCACGACCCCGCGGGCACCUGGACUUCAGACCUAGGACCUGCACCGCCGCGAGAGAACAGGGGCCUGAUGUUUGCAGCCCGCAGUUGGUGGCAUCUUCUUAGGCAGCUGCAAGAGAUGGAGAUGGGCAACUCCUCCCCAACCUGCCAUGGCAGAGCGCAGCCCCGUCUCUCCCCAUCACCCAUUGCUGCAAGGUGUUCUUGCAGAAAUCUUGAUCCAGGACAUACAUCCAUGAAGAGCGAAGCUGCUGGCCAGGGCAGACACAACUCCCAAGGUCUCACCCCCCUUGGAGUGCGGGAGUGGCUGCUCCCAGCUGGUUGGAAGCCAGCGGGGCCAGGAAAAGGCUGAUGCCGGCACUGAGAAAGUGGAUGACCCACAGUCCUGACUGCCACACCCGGGCCCCCAGCCGCCCCUGGCUCUGCACCCCCCACCCCCUAGCCGCCCCCUCUCUCCUUCCUGGCCACACUUGCUGCCUUCUGGUCCUUCCCAACUGUUCUCCAUGUACCUGACACAUGUCCCUCCGUCUGGAGUCAUGCCCCACCCCAGGCUGCCACCUAUCGCCACCUGCUGGCUCCUUCUUACCUCUCAGAUGGCAGCCUGGACUGCCCCUCCAGGAGGCCUCACUGCUCACCUGGUGCAGGGCGUUCCUGGGGCUCUGCUGAGCUGCUUGGCAGCAUGCUAGAAUACAAGGCUGACCGCACUGCGAGUCUGCUCGCUCGUCUGUGGCCCUGAUCCCCGGUGGCCAGCGACUCCAUGAGACCGCAGUCCUUGGGUCUCAAGGACAUUGGAGAACUAUGUGGCUGAACAAACAGUGUCUUUACUGCAGAACACCUCGCAGCCUGUAGUGCACGGCACCUAGGACACAGCUGAUGCUCAGUGAAGAUUUGCUGAGAAACCAUUGGUGGGUGAAUCCCAAAGGCCUCCAGGCCCCGGCUGGCUGACUGUGGACACCGAGCCAGAAUGCCACUGGUUCCUGUAAAAGUGAGUGUAAGAGACAAGUCUCAGGGGUACAAAGCAGAGGCCUGGACUGCUGGGCCUGAAGCAGGCAGGCCAAAGGACAGCCUCAGCCUCACCUUUACCCAAGGGACAUCCCUGGGUCCCUGCGUGACAGACCUCGCUAGAGGAGGCCGCCACUCCGCCUGCGCUGGCUUGCCGCUGUGUGGGGUAGGGACAUGGAGGAAGGACCCGCUGUGUUGCAUACUGAACAUGGUAGAAGGAAUUGAAGCAAACAAAAGGAUACGCUGUGCAAAGUGUGUCUUCCUCGCCACUGGUACCCCAGGCUCCCUGUGAUCUGCCUCUGGCAACUGUGUCCCACUGUCACGUGUGUCCUGGAGAUGCUUGUGUGGACAUAAAGCAUGUACAUUAAGAGAACUCUUUGUUCCAUGUGAGCAUGUUAUACAUACCCUUCUGCACCCUGUUCUUGCUCUUGUUCGCUUGUUUUGCCUUUGAACCUAGCUGGGAGGUUCAUCUGUGUCCACCCACCCCACUCCUUUUUUUUUUUUUUAAGAUUUAUUUUAUUUAUUUGAAAGACAGAGUUAUAGAGAGAGGUAGAGACAGAGAGAGAGGUCUUCCAUCUGCUGGUUCACUCCCCAGAUGGCCACAAUGGCCAGAGCUGCGCCGAUCCGAAGGCGGGAACCCGGAGCUUCUUCCAGGUCUCCCACAUGGGUGCAGGGGCCCAAGGACUGGGCCAUCUUCUACCACUUUCCCAGGCCAUAGCAGAGCUGGAUCGGAAGAGGAGCAGCCGGGACUAGAACCGGCGCCGGUUGCUGGCGCUUCAGGCCAGGGCUUUAACCCGCUGCAUCACAGCACCGGCCCCCACCUCACUCCUUAUCUGGACCAUCUGCUGGUGUUCUGUUCUAGUCAAUGACACCACCCCCUCACGAAGCGGGCUCCUGGGGUACCCCCUGGCUCUCGAAGCAAAGGGUCCCUUGCACAUUUGUCACACAUGGAGGAGCGUGUCAGAGAAACAUUUGUAAGUGGAGGUGCCAGGCUAAGGGCCAUGUGUCCUGUAGCGUCCAUGACAUGGUGCCUGUGUGCCUCUCGAGGAGGCGCUGCCACUUUGCUCUCUCACCCAGGAUGGACUCCACAGAGAACCCGGGUCCCUGCCUGCCGGCCCACGGUGUGCCUUCAACCCCAAACCAGCCUGGUUUGGGCUGGUGUCUACUCCUCCCACAGACCACCUCGGUCCCUCUCUGGAGUCCAGCUCCCUGUGGCCCUGUGACCCUUGAAAUCCUGAAAUCCCUGAUUCCACCUGCAGCUUUGUCUUUCCUUACCCCAGGGCUGGCUCAGAGCG
This is a long non-coding RNA of Lepus europaeus (European hare), 7070 nucleotides long. RefSeq lists it as uncharacterized. The record is from RefSeq and is a predicted model, not a curated record. The transcript is spliced from 3 exons. Lineage: Eukaryota; Metazoa; Chordata; Mammalia; Lagomorpha; Leporidae.